UUAAGCGACUAAGCGUACACGGUGGAUGCCCUGGCAGUCAGAGGCGAUGAAGGACGUGCUAAUCUGCGAUAAGCGUCGGUAAGGUGAUAUGAACCGUUAUAACCGGCGAUUUCCGAAUGGGGAAACCCAGUGUGUUUCGACACACUAUCAUUAACUGAAUCCAUAGGUUAAUGAGGCGAACCGGGGGAACUGAAACAUCUAAGUACCCCGAGGAAAAGAAAUCAACCGAGAUUCCCCCAGUAGCGGCGAGCGAACGGGGAGGAGCCCAGAGCCUGAAUCAGUGUGUGUGUUAGUGGAAGCGUCUGGAAAGGCGCGCGAUACAGGGUGACAGCCCCGUACACAAAAAUGCACAUGCUGUGAGCUCGAUGAGUAGGGCGGGACACGUGGUAUCCUGUCUGAAUAUGGGGGGACCAUCCUCCAAGGCUAAAUACUCCUGACUGACCGAUAGUGAACCAGUACCGUGAGGGAAAGGCGAAAAGAACCCCGGCGAGGGGAGUGAAAAAGAACCUGAAACCGUGUACGUACAAGCAGUGGGAGCACAGAGCAAUCUGUGUGACUGCGUACCUUUUGUAUAAUGGGUCAGCGACUUAUAUUCUGUAGCAAGGUUAACCGAAUAGGGGAGCCGAAGGGAAACCGAGUCUUAACCGGGCGUUAAGUUGCAGGGUAUAGACCCGAAACCCGGUGAUCUAGCCAUGGGCAGGUUGAAGGUUGGGUAACACUAACUGGAGGACCGAACCGACUAAUGUUGAAAAAUUAGCGGAUGACUUGUGGCUGGGGGUGAAAGGCCAAUCAAACCGGGAGAUAGCUGGUUCUCCCCGAAAGCUAUUUAGGUAGCGCCUCGUGAAUUCAUCUCCGGGGGUAGAGCACUGUUUCGGCAAGGGGGUCAUCCCGACUUACCAACCCGAUGCAAACUGCGAAUACCGGAGAAUGUUAUCACGGGAGACACACGGCGGGUGCUAACGUCCGUCGUGAAGAGGGAAACAACCCAGACCGCCAGCUAAGGUCCCAAAGUCAUGGUUAAGUGGGAAACGAUGUGGGAAGGCCCAGACAGCCAGGAUGUUGGCUUAGAAGCAGCCAUCAUUUAAAGAAAGCGUAAUAGCUCACUGGUCGAGUCGGCCUGCGCGGAAGAUGUAACGGGGCUAAACCAUGCACCGAAGCUGCGGCAGCGACACUGUGUGUUGUUGGGUAGGGGAGCGUUCUGUAAGCCUGUGAAGGUGUGCUGUGAGGCAUGCUGGAGGUAUCAGAAGUGCGAAUGCUGACAUAAGUAACGAUAAAGCGGGUGAAAAGCCCGCUCGCCGGAAGACCAAGGGUUCCUGUCCAACGUUAAUCGGGGCAGGGUGAGUCGACCCCUAAGGCGAGGCCGAAAGGCGUAGUCGAUGGGAAACAGGUUAAUAUUCCUGUACUUGGUGUUACUGCGAAGGGGGGGACGGAGAAGGCUAUGUUGGCCGGGCGACGGUUGUCCCGGUUUAAGCGUGUAGGCUGGUUUUCCAGGCAAAUCCGGAAAAUCAAGGCUGAGGCGUGAUGACGAGGCACUACGGUGCUGAAGCAACAAAUGCCCUGCUUCCAGGAAAAGCCUCUAAGCAUCAGGUAACAUCAAAUCGUACCCCAAACCGACACAGGUGGUCAGGUAGAGAAUACCAAGGCGCUUGAGAGAACUCGGGUGAAGGAACUAGGCAAAAUGGUGCCGUAACUUCGGGAGAAGGCACGCUGAUAUGUAGGUGAAGUCCCUCGCGGAUGGAGCUGAAAUCAGUCGAAGAUACCAGCUGGCUGCAACUGUUUAUUAAAAACACAGCACUGUGCAAACACGAAAGUGGACGUAUACGGUGUGACGCCUGCCCGGUGCCGGAAGGUUAAUUGAUGGGGUCAGCGCAAGCGAAGCUCUUGAUCGAAGCCCCGGUAAACGGCGGCCGUAACUAUAACGGUCCUAAGGUAGCGAAAUUCCUUGUCGGGUAAGUUCCGACCUGCACGAAUGGCGUAAUGAUGGCCAGGCUGUCUCCACCCGAGACUCAGUGAAAUUGAACUCGCUGUGAAGAUGCAGUGUACCCGCGGCAAGACGGAAAGACCCCGUGAACCUUUACUAUAGCUUGACACUGAACAUUGAGCCUUGAUGUGUAGGAUAGGUGGGAGGCUUUGAAGUGUGGACGCCAGUCUGCAUGGAGCCGACCUUGAAAUACCACCCUUUAAUGUUUGAUGUUCUAACGUGGACCCGUGAUCCGGGUUGCGGACAGUGUCUGGUGGGUAGUUUGACUGGGGCGGUCUCCUCCUAAAGAGUAACGGAGGAGCACGAAGGUUGGCUAAUCCUGGUCGGACAUCAGGAGGUUAGUGCAAUGGCAUAAGCCAGCUUGACUGCGAGCGUGACGGCGCGAGCAGGUGCGAAAGCAGGUCAUAGUGAUCCGGUGGUUCUGAAUGGAAGGGCCAUCGCUCAACGGAUAAAAGGUACUCCGGGGAUAACAGGCUGAUACCGCCCAAGAGUUCAUAUCGACGGCGGUGUUUGGCACCUCGAUGUCGGCUCAUCACAUCCUGGGGCUGAAGUAGGUCCCAAGGGUAUGGCUGUUCGCCAUUUAAAGUGGUACGCGAGCUGGGUUUAGAACGUCGUGAGACAGUUCGGUCCCUAUCUGCCGUGGGCGCUGGAGAACUGAGGGGGGCUGCUCCUAGUACGAGAGGACCGGAGUGGACGCAUCACUGGUGUUCGGGUUGUCAUGCCAAUGGCACUGCCCGGUAGCUAAAUGCGGAAGAGAUAAGUGCUGAAAGCAUCUAAGCACGAAACUUGCCCCGAGAUGAGUUCUCCCUGACCCUUUAAGGGUCCUGAAGGAACGUUGAAGACGACGACGUUGAUAGGCCGGGUGUGUAAGCGCAGCGAUGCGUUGAGCUAACCGGUACUAAUGAACCGUGAGGCUUAACCU
RNAcentral lists this ribosomal RNA (2903 nucleotides) under Escherichia coli. RNAcentral describes it as "23S ribosomal RNA". It matches the Rfam family "Bacterial large subunit ribosomal RNA". The record is from RNAcentral. Lineage: Bacteria; Pseudomonadati; Pseudomonadota; Gammaproteobacteria; Enterobacterales; Enterobacteriaceae.